RNAcentral lists this ribosomal RNA (491 nucleotides) under uncultured bacterium. RNAcentral describes it as "partial 16S ribosomal RNA". It matches the Rfam family "Bacterial small subunit ribosomal RNA", at positions 29 to 507 of the family's 1533-position model. The record is from RNAcentral.
AGUGGACGCUGGCGGUAGGCCUAACACAUGCAAGUCGAACGGCAGCACAGUAAGAGCUUGCUCUUACGGGUGGCGAGUGGCGGACGGGUGAGGAAUACAUCGGAAUCUACUUUUUCGUGGGGGAUAACGUAGGGAAACUUACGCUAAUACCGCAUACGACCUACGGGUGAAAGCAGGGGAUCUUCGGACCUUGCGCGAUUGAAUGAGCCGAUGUCGGAUUAGCUAGUUGGCGGGGUAAAGGCCCACCAAGGCGACGAUCCGUAGCUGGUCUGAGAGGAUGACGAGCCACACUGGAACGGAGACACGGCCCAGCCUCCUACGGGAGGCAGCGGUGGGGAAAUUUGACAAUGGGCGCAAGCCUGAUCCAGCCAUACCGCGUGGGUGAAGAAGGCCUUCGGGUUGUAAAGCCCUUUUGUUGGGAAAGAAAAGCAGCAGGUUAAUACCCCGCUGUUCUGACGGUACCCAAAGAAUAAGCACCGGCUAACUUCGUG